AUUGAACGCUGGCGGCAGGCCUAACACAUGCAAGUCGAACGAGUGGCGGACGGGUGAGUAAUGUCUGGGAAACUGCCUGAUGGAGGGGGAUAACUACUGGAAACGGUAGAUAAUACCGCAUACCGUCUGAUGUGCCCAGAUGGGAGGAGCUUGGUGGUGUGGUAACGGCUCACCAGGGCGGCGAUCCCUAGCUGGUCUGAGAGGAUGACCAGCCAAACUGGAACUGAGACACGGGCCAGACUCCGACGGGAGGCAGCAUUGGGGAAUAUUGCACAAUGGGCGCAAGCCUGAUGCAGCCAUGCCGCGUGUAUGAAGAAGGCCUUCGGGUUGUAAAGUACUUUCAGCUGGGAGGCGUUACCCGCAGAAGAAGCACCGGCUAACUCCGUGCCAGCAGCCGCGGUAAUAC
RNAcentral lists this ribosomal RNA (406 nucleotides) under uncultured bacterium. Its description in RNAcentral is "partial 16S ribosomal RNA". It matches the Rfam family "Bacterial small subunit ribosomal RNA", at positions 30 to 526 of the family's 1533-position model. The record is from RNAcentral.